AGAUGGAGGUGUGUGUACCUUCAUGUCAUUGAGAUGGAGGUGUGUGUACCUUCAUGUCAUUGAGAUGGAGGUGUGUGUACCUUCAUGUCAUUGAGAUGGAGGUGUGUGUACCUUCAUGUCAUUGAGAUGGAGGUGUGUGUACCUUCAUGUCAUUGAGAUGGAGGUGUGUGUACCUUCAUGUCAUUGAGAUGGAGGUGUGUGUACCUUCAUGUCAUUGAGAUGGGUGUGUGUACCUUCAUGUCAUUGAGAUGGAGGUGUGUGUGUACCUUCAUGUCAUUGAGAUGGAGGUGUGUGUGUACCUUCAUGUCAUUGAGAUGGAGGUGUGUGUACCUUCAUGUCAUUGAGAUGGAGGUACUCCUCGAUGAUGGCGCUGGACUUCUUCUCCAGCUCCUCCUCAGUCACGGCCGGUUUGGUCGGAGCAUCGGGGGGAGG
This is a long non-coding RNA of Oncorhynchus keta (chum salmon), 432 nucleotides long. RefSeq lists it as uncharacterized. The record is from RefSeq and is a predicted model, not a curated record. Lineage: Eukaryota; Metazoa; Chordata; Actinopteri; Salmoniformes; Salmonidae. The transcript is spliced from 3 exons.